AUUCAUUUCCCCCUUGGUGUGGAGAACACAGCAGUACACCAGGGCCCCUCUGUCUGCUGGUGAUUGGAGGAGAAAGCAAGCCAUCUAUUGCAGAAACAUGCCAGCGUCUUUUUUUAAUGGAAGAUCAUCUAUGAAAAUCGGAAAAUGGAAGAGGACCUUCUACAAUGCUACUCAAAGCCAGGAAAUAUUUUUAGCAUAGUUAAUAACAGAUCGAGGGAUAAGACAGUUGAGAAAUUCAUUCUCAAAAGUAUAAAAGGCGUGACUGUGAGACCGGUAUUUCCUUCCUUCAUUCAUUUAAACAAUAUUUACUGAGUGCCUACAGAUUACUAAACACUGCUCUAGGAGGUAGGGAAACAUCUAUGAAUAAAACAGUUAGAAAUCCCUGUCCUCAGUGACCUUAUUUAUAUUCUAGAGUUGGGAGUUUACAUUCUAAUGCUUCAUGUUGAGACUAGAUCUAUGAGGAUGGGUUCUCUUAUUGCCUCUAGCCACAGAAUGGACCAGAAGAUCUCCUUAAUUCCAUACAAGGAAAUUAAUGACUGGCAACCUGAGUCAAAUGCCAUUGAGAGGGAAAAACGUGCAGGGACAAGAACCGGAGAGUUUUAAGAAACCAAAAGGCCUGUUGGAGAGAAAAUGAAUUUGACGUUCCACAAACAAGAAAAGACCUGUGCAGUACAGGCCAAAGGCCUCUGACACCCACUAAGGAUCUUAAAUAGUAAGCCCGACAGAGUAGAGGCACCUUACCCAAGAUAGUUUCUGUAUACAUGGCUACAGGCCUCUCAAACCCGGAGGAAGAACUGCCUUCUGAAUACACUGCUGUGACUGACCAAUCUAGAAAAUGUCUCUUCAGCUUUACAUUUCUGCUUGGGUUUCAGGGUUUUGCUUUUAUUUUAUUUUACUUUGUUAGUGUUUGAGGGGAAAGGUGUUUUGUUGGGUUGUGCUGUAUUUAUUUUCAGCAGUUGACUACACUACCCAACCUGCUAAUGUUGAGGACCUAUCUAUCUGUGUUAUGUAUGGCCAUCUUGAUAUUUUAAAUAGAAUAGCUUUUUUAACCCAAUCGUUUUCAAAUAUAUUAUAUUUAACACCAUUUCACCCAAAAGAUGAAUAUGUAAACCAGACAGAAGAAGAGCUGCUCGGAUUAGAACUCAGAGCAGGUGGG
This 1156-nucleotide long non-coding RNA is filed under the name Homo sapiens (human). RNAcentral describes it as "HSALNT0399743". The record is from RNAcentral. Lineage: Eukaryota; Metazoa; Chordata; Mammalia; Primates; Hominidae.